GCGGAUGGUCGGGUGACUGCGUCGUUUUUAUGACGAGGAAAGUCCGGACUCCAAAGAGAAGUGACGCCGGGUAACGCCCGGCCAAGGUAACUUGAGGGAUAGCGCCACAGAAAAAAUACCGCUCAGAUUCGAGAGUAAGGGUGAAAAGGUAAGGUAAGAGCUUACCGCUAACAUGGUAACAUGUUAGGCAUGGCAAGCCCCGUCAGGAGCAAAAUCAAAUAGGAACUGCAUGGGUCUUCCCAGAGUUCUCCACUUUAGCAGUUCGGGUAGAUUGCUUGAGUUUACCGGUAACGGUGCACCUAGAUGAAUAGUCACAAUGGUAUUGAUAUCAUUACAAAAUCCGGCUUAUAGGCCAUCCGCAAAA
This 364-nucleotide RNase P RNA is filed under the name Paracoccaceae bacterium. RNAcentral's name for it is "Rhodobacteraceae bacterium RNase P RNA component class A". It matches the Rfam family "Bacterial RNase P class A". Rfam says of the family: Ribonuclease P (RNase P) is a ubiquitous endoribonuclease, found in archaea, bacteria and eukarya as well as chloroplasts and mitochondria. Its best characterised activity is the generation of mature 5'-ends of tRNAs by cleaving the 5'-leader elements of precursor-tRNAs. Cellular RNase Ps are ribonucleoproteins. The record is from RNAcentral. Lineage: Bacteria; Pseudomonadati; Pseudomonadota; Alphaproteobacteria; Rhodobacterales; Paracoccaceae.